RNAcentral lists this ribosomal RNA (589 nucleotides) under bacterium DYS3A. RNAcentral's name for it is "bacterial SSU rRNA". It matches the Rfam family "Bacterial small subunit ribosomal RNA", at positions 338 to 916 of the family's 1533-position model. The record is from RNAcentral.
CCUACGGGGGGGCAGCAGUAGGGAAUCUUCCACAAUGGACGCAAGUCUGAUGGAGCAACGCCGCGUGAGUGAAGAAGGGUUUCGGCUCGUAAAGCUCUGUUGUUAAAGAAGAACGUGGGUAAGAGUAACUGUUUACCCAGUGACGGUAUUUAACCAGAAAGCCACGGCUAACUACGUGCCAGCAGCCGCGGUAAUACGUAGGUGGCAAGCGUUAUCCGGAUUUAUUGGGCGUAAAGCGAGCGCAGGCGGUCUUUUAAGUCUAAUGUGAAAGCCUUCGGCUCAACCGAAGAAGUGCAUUGGAAACUGGGAGACUUGAGUGCAGAAGAGGACAGUGGAACUCCAUGUGUAGCGGUGAAAUGCGUAGAUAUAUGGAAGAACACCAGUGGCGAAGGCGGCUGUCUGGUCUGCAACUGACGCUGAGGCUCGAAAGCAUGGGUAGCGAACAGGAUUAGAUACCCUGGUAGUCCAUGCCGUAAACGAUGAUUACUAAGUGUUGGAGGGUUUCCGCCCUUCAGUGCUGCAGCUAACGCAUUAAGUAAUCCGCCUGGGGAGUACGACCGCAAGGUUGAAACUCAAAGAAUUUUGACGG